CCUCAGCCGGAACCCAAACCUGAACCGAAACCAGAGCCCAUGCCACAUCCUGAGCCUAAACCUGAACCAAAGCCCAUGCCGGAGCCAAAGCCAAUGCCACAUCCAGAGCCGAAACCUGAGCCCAUGCCUCACCCUGAACCGAAACCUGAGCCAAAGCCCGAACCUAAGCCUGAGCCAAAACCCAUGCCCGAGCCAAAACCUGAACCAAAACCCAUGCCCGAGCCUAAGCCGGAACCUAAGCCUGAGCCAAAACCUGAACCAAAACCUAAGCCUGAGCCAAAACCUGAACCAAAACCUAAGCCUGAGCCAAAACCCAUGCCCGAGCCGAAACCUGAACCAAAACCCAUGCCCGAGCCUAAGCCUGAGCCAACACCCGUGCCCGAGCCAAAGCCGGAACCUAAGCCCGAGCCGAAACCCAUGCCCGAGCCAAAACCCAAGCCCGAGCCAAAGCCGGAACCCAAGCCCGAGCCAAAGCCGGAACCUAAGCCCAAGCCGGAACCCAAGCCCGAGCCAAAGCCGGAACCUAAGCCCGAGCCGAAACCCAAGCCCGAGCCAAAGCCGGAACCCAAGCCCGAGCCAAAGCCCGAACCGAAGCCAAAGCCGAAGCCGGAACCUAAACCCGAGCCCAAGCCUGAACCAGAGCCGAAGCCGUAUCCUAAGCCGGAACCAAAACCCAAGCCAGAACCUAAGCCAGAACCCAAGCCAGAACCUAAGCCCGAACCCAAGCCCAAACCCGAGCCCAAGCCUGAGCCCAAGCCGAAGCCAGACCCGCCGCACAUCCCUCCCGCAGCUGACAACUGACGAAGUGGCCGCUAGCUGUUUUGUAUGACGUUGCAGAGUAUGGUAGUAUCUGAAUAAAACCGGCUGGACCGGGAGUUGCAUCAUCUAGAUUGGUGCUCGCUGC
RNAcentral lists this long non-coding RNA (904 nucleotides) under Setaria italica (foxtail millet). Its description in RNAcentral is "long non-coding RNA (SITA_LNC001875)". The record is from RNAcentral. Lineage: Eukaryota; Viridiplantae; Streptophyta; Magnoliopsida; Poales; Poaceae.